Molecule: ribosomal RNA, 253 nt
Filed under: uncultured bacterium
Lineage: Bacteria
Description: partial 16S ribosomal RNA
Rfam family: Bacterial small subunit ribosomal RNA
Source: RNAcentral
UACGGAGGGUGCAAGCGUUAUCCGGAUUUACUGGGCUUAAAGGGUGCGUAGGUGGGUUGGUAAGUCAGUGGUGAAAUCUUCGAGCUUAACUCGGAAACUGCCAUUGAUACUAUUAAUCUUGAAUUAUCUGGAGGUAAGCGGAAUAUGUCAUGUAGCGGUGAAAUGCUUAGAUAUGACAUAGAACACCCAUUGCGAAGGCAGCUUACUACGGAUACAUUGACACUGAGGCACGAAAGCGUGGGGAUCAAACAGG